Molecule: long non-coding RNA, 584 nt
Filed under: Homo sapiens (human)
Lineage: Eukaryota; Metazoa; Chordata; Mammalia; Primates; Hominidae
Description: non-protein coding SNHG17:14
Source: RNAcentral
GCCUCAGUCCUUCGCCGUCCCUCGCCGUCCUUCGCCAUCGCACGCCACCGCACCCCAUCUCUCGAAAUCUGCAGACAUCUUGAUUUUUCCCACGCUGUCUGUCAGGUCUCCGCCGCCACUCGACGCCAGGGCGCCGGGUGAGUCCACAGCAGGGCGCAUGGUCGGCUCCACUCUCACCAUCGGGGGAAACUGAGGCCCCGGGGAAGGCGGCCAGAGAGGUCAGGCCCUGUCCUUGGUGCAGUGUCUCGUCCUCUUUGCCGGAGUGAGCCCCCCAGGAUUCGCGUGUCCUCGGGAAAGACACUGGCAGGCCUUGUGGGCUGUGCUGCACCUCGGACGGCUUCGCACCAGCCAGCGCCCUCUCUCUCCUGCAGCACUCUGAUCUGCACCCCCUGAGGGGCUUCCACUGUCCGCGGGGUGAGAAUGCCCCUGGGUAAGUGCCGCUGCUUCUGCGCACCUUGGGGAAGGACCCUUCUGUGGGACGCAGUAGAGGGGACAGUCAAUGAGCUCAGCCAGUUCUGAGUUCUGAGAACUGUCUGGCAAAGCGGGUGCAGAGCAAAGCGUGACUUAGGAGACGGGCUGCGCUU